AACGAACGCCGGCGGCGUGCUCAACACAUGCAAGUCGAACGGAAAGGCCCUGCUUUUGUGGGGUGCUCGAGUGGCGAACGGGUGAGUAACACGUGAGUAACCUGCCCUUGACUUUGGGAUAACUUCAGGAAACUGGGGCUAAUACCGGAUAGGAGCUCCUGCUGCAUGGUGGGGGUUGGAAAGUUUCGGCGGUUGGGGAUGGACUCGCGGCUUAUCAGCUUGUUGGUGGGGUAGUGGCUUACCAAGGCUUUGGCGGGUAGCCGGCCUGAGAGGGUGACCGGCCACAUUGGGACUGAGAUACGGCCCAGACUCCUACGGGAGGCAGCAGUGGGGAAUAUUGCACAAUGGGCGGAAGCCUGAUGCAGCAACGCCGCGUGCGGGAUGACGGCCUUCGGGUUGUAAACCGCUUUCGCCUGUGACGAAGCGUGAGUGACGGUAAUGGGUAAAGAAGCACCGGCUAACUACGUGCCAGCAGCCGCGGUGAUACGUAGGGUGCGAGCGUUGUCCGGAUUUAUUGGGCGUAAAGGGCUCGUAGGUGGUUGAUCGCGUCGGAAGUGUAAUCUUGGGGCUUAACCCUGAGCGUGCUUUCGAUACGGGUUGACUUGAGGAAGGUAGGGGAGAAUGGAAUUCCUGGUGGAGCGGUGGAAUGCGCAGAUAUCAGGGGGAACACCAGUGGCGAAGGCGGUUCUCUGGGCCUUUCCUGACGCUGAGGAGCGAAAGCGUGGGGAGCGAACAGGCUUAGAUACCCUGGUAGUCCACGCUGUAAACGGUGGGUACUAGGUGUGGGGUCCAUUCCACGGGUUCCGUGCCGUAGCUAACGCUUUAAGUACCCCGCCUGGGGAGUACGGCCGCAAGGCUAAAACUCAAAGGAAUUGACGGGGCCCCGCACAAGCGGCGGAGCAUGCGGAUUAAUUCGAUGCAACGCGUAGAACCUUACCUGGGUUUGACAUGGAUCGGGAGUGCUCAGAGAUGGGUGUGCCUCUUUUGGGGUCGGUUCACAGGUGGUGCAUGGCUGUCGUCAGCUCGUGUCGUGAGAUGUUGGGUUAAGUCCCGCAACGAGCGCAACCCUUGUUCACUGUUGCCAGCACGUUAUGGUGGGGACUCAGUGGAGACCGCCGGGGUCAACUCGGAGGAAGGUGGGGAUGACGUCAAGUCAUCAUGCCCCUUAUGUCCAGGGCUUCACGCAUGCUACAAUGGCUGGUACAGAGAGUGGCGAGCCUGUGAGGGUGAGCGAAUCUCGGAAAGCCGGUCUCAGUUCGGAUUGGGGUCUGCAACUCGACCUCAUGAAGUCGGAGUCGCUAGUAAUCGCAGAUCAGCAACGCUGCGGUGAAUACGUUCCCGGGGCU
This 1346-nucleotide ribosomal RNA is filed under the name uncultured bacterium. Its description in RNAcentral is "bacterial SSU rRNA". It matches the Rfam family "Bacterial small subunit ribosomal RNA", at positions 28 to 1381 of the family's 1533-position model. The record is from RNAcentral.